ACGGGGGCCCGCACAAGCGGAGGUACAUGUGGUUUAAUUCGAUGAUACGCGAGGAACCUUACCUGGGCUUAAAUGCAGAUCGACGUCCGCCGAUAGGCAGAUUCCCUUCGGGGCGGAUUGCAAGGUCCUGCAUGGUAGUCGUCAGCUCGUUCCGUGAGGUGUCGGGUUAAGUCCCAUAACGAGCGCAUACCCUUAUUGUUAGUUACCAGCGGGUAAUGCCGGGGACUUUGUCGAAUCUGCCGGUGUAAACCGUGAGGUAGGUGUGGAUUACGUCUAAUCAGCACGGCCUGUACGUCCAGGGUUACACACGUGUUACGAUGGCCGGUCACAAAGGGCAGAUACCUGGUCACAGGAUGCUAAUCUAGAAAGCCGGUUUCAGUUGGGAUUGAACUCUGCAACUCGACGGUCAUGUAGUUGGAUUAGCUAGUAAUCGCGCAUCAGCCACGGUCUGGUGAUACGUUCCCGGGCCUUGUAUACACCGCCCGUCAAUCCUUGGUAGCCGGGGGUACCUGAAGUCUAUAACCGGAAGGG
This 531-nucleotide ribosomal RNA is filed under the name uncultured organism. RNAcentral describes it as "bacterial SSU rRNA". It matches the Rfam family "Bacterial small subunit ribosomal RNA", at positions 913 to 1451 of the family's 1533-position model. The record is from RNAcentral.